RNAcentral lists this non-coding RNA (27 nucleotides) under Rattus norvegicus (Norway rat). The record is from RNAcentral. Lineage: Eukaryota; Metazoa; Chordata; Mammalia; Rodentia; Muridae.
UAGUGAUGUGUACUUUAAAUGAGGCUC